UCGCCUGUACACAAGACCAGCAACUGAACCUGGAAUAUCAGCAUCAUCAGUCACUGAUUCAUGUAUAAACUCUCUCGCAUCUCCAUCUUCAAUUAUUUCUGGGAAAUCCGCAUAAUGAGAGCCUUGCCAAACUUUCUUGUCAGUCAAGGUUAGGGCUUCGCUGGAAGAGUUCCAAAGCUUGCCGUUUGUGCAUUGUUGAGCAUUUUUCUGAGAAGCAGCCAUGGUAGCUUUCUAUGUGCUAUGGUUUGGUUGUGUUAUGCUUCAAAUAUUGCACUACACACCUACUUAUAUACUAGUUUACACCAUGCAUGCAUUGCCCAUAACAACAAUGUUUAUGCGGACGAAAUUUGUAGACUUCAUUCAUAUCAAAACUUUUCUUUAUUCCUAUUCUUGAUGUGUCUUUUCACUUCUAAGUAAACAUUCUUUUCAAUUAAAGAAAUAUAUUUUGAAGUAUUUGGAUUUUUUGAUAAAUUAUUUUUUAAAAUUAUAUAAUUUUUGUAUUGUAAAUUAUCAAUAUAAAGGGUAAACAUAUGUAAUUUAUCUCAUAUAUAGAAUAUAUGUAAUUUAAAUUAAGUUUUGAUUAGGCAUAAUUUAUUAUCAAGUUUAUAUAUGAUAUUGAUUAUCACAAAAUAUUAUUUUAUUAUAAAAUAAAUUUCAAUUAUGAAAAGGAAAUUGUAUUACAAAAUUUUGUAAUAAAUAUAUUUAUUUUGUGUUGGCUUACAAAGAACAACUUUUAAAAAAUAAUUUUGGAAAAUUUUGUCAAAUAAUAAAAAAUAUUUUUAAAAAAUAUUUCAAGCAAUACAAUAUAUAUAUCAAUUUUUUUUUCAAAAAAUCAAUUCAUUUUUAAAAGAAUCAUUUUCCGAAUAGUUAUUAAAUAACGAAAGAAUAUGAUAGUUUUGUUUUUUUCUGGUAAAGCAUAAGAUACUCUUUAAGUUAAAACCAUGUUAGGUUACGUUACAUUUAUUACGUGGAUGAUUGAAAAAAUUAUUGAUGAAAAUUGUAUCUCGGAGAAAAUAUAAAUAAACUUUUAAUAUCAAAUUUUGAUAUUUCGUGUUAAACUUUUUUUAUGAAAUCAUAUUUCGUAUUAAACUUUUGUUUGAAUUUCUUUUAAUAUCAAAUUACUUUUCAUAACUUAUCGUAUUUUAUUUCAUAUUUAAUUAUUUUUAAAUUGUGUACAUGCAAUUUAGCAUGUAUAAUAUUAAUGACAUUACUAGAUUUUAAUUGUUGUUUUAACUUUGAAUUUUUUUUACUAUUUUUUAAGAAUAACCAAAUAUUUAGAAUUUAAUCAAAUGAGACUUUAGUUUAGUUGGCAAAAGCAGAGGUCUUGAGUCUUAAGUACCUAAGUUUAAGACCUACCAUGGACAAUUAUAUACGUAAGGUUUUUGAGUUUUAGUUUAGUUAAUCUUAAUUUGGUUUUAGUCUCGACUAUAUUAGUACAAUUGAUUUAUGAUUAUUUAUAUUUAUAACUAUAUUAUACUUGUUAUACUUCAAAAAGAAAAGUUGAUAAGUGAGUGAGUCAGAGGAAGCGAAAGAAGGAUCGUAUUCAAGUUGUUUGAUUCGAAAAAGAAAGAUUUGGAUGUGACCUGAAAGAAAAAACCGAACAAAUUUAGAAAAUAACAAAAAUAAUAAGAAAAAUUUUAAAAAUAGAGGAUAAAUAUUCAAAAUAAUAACUAAAUAGUGAAAAGAUAGAUUAAAGCAAAGUGGAAGAUGGAACAAUAAACAGAUGAAUAUGAUGGAUAGAAUGAUAAAUGCCCAGUUGAACCUUUUGAGAUAUAAAUCCCAACAAACUCAAUUAAUGGCUCUAAUCAUCCCUUCAAGAAAUAAUCCUUGGCAAAUUGAAGGGUGAAGAAUGAAUUCUCACGACUCUUUGAAGAAAAUCGAGAAGAAAACUACUUCUAAAAAUCACAAGAAAGAAAUUUUGCACAAGAAACAAACUCAAUAAUAUUCAAAGAGUAAUCAAAGAUAUUAUUUUGAGCCUUCAAAUUAGCUUCGAUCAUGGACGUCUCCUUUAAAAAUAUGGUACGUACCAACACUAAAAAAAGAAAUGUUAAGCACAUGAGUGUUCAAGUAAAAUAUAAAUUGUAACUUUCUUUGAAUAUGCAUAGUCAUCCAUAAGAAUUUCCAAAGAUUAGUUAAUAAUUUCACAUAAUAAUCAAAAUACAAAAGUUUAAUAUUAUUAUGUAAAAACCCAUAUUUAAAGUCUAAGGUAGAAAAUUUUGUUGCAAGAUCAAAUGCUUAAAGUUAGUUAAUAAACCUAUCGAAUGCAACAAAAGUAACCUUACCAUACCUAGAUAAACCCAUAAAAUCAAUUGAACUUUCAUACCAAGGUUUAAUAAAAUUUGAUCAACGAGAAAACAUGUUGUAAGGAAAUAUUUUACACACAAAAUCAGUAGCAUACUUAUAAAAAACAUUCAAGGUAUGUCUUCUUAAAUCAAUUUCUAAUAUUCACUUACAUUUCUUACCUUGUAACACUUGUGGGUAAUUAUUAAUAUUCAACUUACUUCUUUUCCACAAGUAAAAUCGUCUAUCGAUAGUAGAGUAAUAUAAUUGGAAGCCCGUCAAUGGACCCUUAAAACAAAUUUGAGUUAGGGUUAGUUAAAACAUAAUCAUUCUUCACUUUUGUAGGGGUAUUUUCUUGCUUUUCAUUUUUUCCACUUGAGAACUCUCCAAUUUUACCCUAUAUGAAUUUUUACUCACCAAAAUUGGACCAUUAAGUAUACUUUUUGUUCGAAAAAUUAUAGUUUAUGGGAACUUUGAGGCAUAUUCUCAAUUGGUAAAGGUGGAGAGUUGAAUAAUAAAAUUAUGCCUUCAUAUUCUACACCAUGAGACCUUUACAGCGAUAUAUCACAUGCUCAAAAUGGUUGGGUGAUGAAUGAGAAAUUGAUGUUCAAAGUAAGCUACUUGUGAAUAUUUGUUGAGGAAAAGAAAAGCUUAGAUCCCACAUUGGUUAAAUACCAAGUGUAAUAUGUGUAUAUAUAUGAGAACCCACUUGAAAGGUGAUUGGUUGACUAAGCUGGGAUUCUUGUCUCGCAUGCAAGGGGUGCAGGUCCAAACUCGUUGGGAUUGGGGGCACACUCGCACGACGUGGGCGACGUGAUAUGUCGGGCACAAAAUGGGCCUACAAAUAUUAACCCAACACGAAAUUAUUUUUAUUCUCAGCAAAUAUAUACAAAACCUAAUUUAAAAGGACGUAUAUCCUAAUUUUAUUUGAUUCUAAUCAAUUUCAUUUAAUUUUAAUCAAAUUUAUUUAAUUGCUCCUUUAAUGCAGAUUUUGUCUCCUUAUACAUGGAUAUUUCCAAAAUUCCUCCACUUUGAGUGCCUAUAAAAGGCUAAGACUUCUGCCGAAUUUUUUGCUCAAUCUCACUCUCUUUUCCUCUCCAUAAUUCUCAAUGUUUCCGUGAUAGAAAAAGGAAACAUUUGUCCGUUGAUCAUUGCAUAGGUGCUAUUGCUUCGAUCAUCGUGUUGUUGUAUCCUGGGAGACAUUCGACCAACUUUUUUCCAAGUACAGUAGGAGCGGUCGAAUCUGUCGUAAGGAAACUAUGUAAAAUAGGUCUCAACAUCUAGUAAAAUUCGUUAUUCUUUUCGAUUUUUGUUAUGUUAUUUAUUGAUUUUUCGUAUCUAAAAAUUUAAAUAUAAAUUAUUCAAUUUAUUUUAUUUUAUAUAUAAAUAUUUGUUUAUUUAUAUAUAUUUGUUCGCUAAUGUGUUUUGUCCAACACUUUUAUCACUCAAAGUUUCUUUUCUCUCUAUCUUUUCACAUGAUUCUUCUUCACUUCCUAUAUCCCCCUCACAAAUAUUAUGAAUAUUCAAUUCAAUGAAAUACAUAUCAGUGGGAGAACCUGACGUUUGUAUAUCAUCUAACUCUAUAGAUUCAAAGAAAAAAUCUCACUAUCAUCUAUAUUAAUCAACAAAAGUCUCGUGCUAACACAAUCACGACUAUAGUGCCCACACCCUUUGCAUUUAAAACAUUCAAUUUCAUGAACUCUUUGUUUUUUUGGUAAAGAAUUAGUAGACGUGGGCUACUUAGAAGAUGUAGAAGAAGGUUUUGUAGGAACCCCACUUUUCCACUCAAAAGGUUUAUCUCAUCACAUUUUGGCAGCAAAUUAUUAGUAGCAUAAGGAGGUUUCGAAUUCUUUAAAGUAAAAUUAAAACUCGUACCUCUAUAAUAUUGCGAUGCACCAAAUGAACGAGGAUGGCAUUGUUGAAAUUACUGCUCAAUCUCAACUUCCUUGUGUACCACCUCCUCAAGAUCAAUGUAGGUUUGAAGAUUAAGAGUAUUGGCUAUGGAAACGUUCAAGGCAUCUACAAAUUGCACCAUAGUAGUCUCUUCAUCUUCUCGCACAUUUUCUCUUCGUAUAAGCAUCUCCAUCUCCUUAAAGUACUUAUCAAAAAAUUGAUUACCUUGAACAAGGCACCGAAGUUUUGUUUUGACCUCUCUGUAGUAAUGAGAAGGAACAUAACGCUUUCGCAUCACUUGCUUCAACUCGUCCCAUAUUUCAAUUACCCUUUCAUAAUUUCUUUGAUGAUUAAUUUCAAGUUGAAUCCACCAACUCAAUGCAUAAUCUGAAAACCCAAGGGUCGCCAAUAAGACUUUUUCCUCUUACCGACAUUUAUAGUAAAGAAACAUAAGUUCAAUUUUUGAUUCCUACUCACCAUAUGCUUCGGGAUCAUACUUCCCUCGGAAUGGUGGAAUGUUGAAAUCUGGUUUAGCUAAAAAAUGUUGCCCGUGGUCAUUAUUAACCAAAGUCUCAUCAUUUGGAUGAUAGACAGAUCGAGCAUUAUUUGCAUGAAGACGAGGCUGAUCAACCUUAUCUCCCCAAUUAUGAUUCCGACACUCAAUUUUGGUACUUAGACAUUCCAAAUUUUUGUUGAUUGUGUCUAAAAUAGUGUCACAUUUAUGAUCUCGAGCAUUUUGAACCUCUUGAUCCUUUUGCAACUUCCCAAUCAUAGUAUUGUGAAUCAUUAUGAAAGCUUAAAAAGAACACAACACUAAAUAAAAGAAAAAUUAAGCAAACCUCACUAUUAUACACUCACAAUAAAUAAAUAAAAACUCUAAGAGACAAAGACAAAGAAAAUAAAUUAAGAUUUUCUUGCUUGUAACUUUUAAAGAGUAAUCAAACUCAAUAAUAUUCAAAAAGAUGUAGGAUCACUCUCUAAAAAAGUCAACUUAAUGCUCUAAGAAUCCAAAGAAAAACUCGACUCCAAAGGAAGUAAGUUGCGCGGAGAAAGAAGAGGUAACUCUUUUCGUACCUAUUAACACAAGAAACGAAAAUGUGUUAGAAUGUGUAACAGAGUAGGAAAAGCUAAAAAAAAAGAAACCCUAAUGCUAGAAUCAAAGAAAAUAAACUAACCAACUGAAAACCCGAAACAAUGGAAAACAACUUGAAUUUUUUCGUUCAAAGUGUUCUCGAUUUCCAAAAUCACGAAAUUUAAACUAGAGUCUCCUCAAAUAAUGUAGAUUCGAUCUAGAAAAUUUUUGCACGAAAUUCAACCCACAAAAUAUUUUUUUAUUUUUUCUUUUAUUCGUAUUUAUUUUUCACUUUUUUGAUCACUUCUUUUUAUGGGAAAUAUUUUUUUUAUAUUCUAAGAGAUUGCCAAGAAUUAGUAUGUAAACUUUUAGAUCGUUUGGAAAGCGUUUACCCACUGAAAAAUAUUUUUUUCGAAAAUUUUUUAGGUAAAAAGAAAAAAAAACUAUUUUGAGAUUGUUGUUGGAAAUCACUUUAUAAGAACACCUAAAAUGCCCAAAUCUGAUACCAAAUUAUAAGGAUUGAAGUGGAGGAAGUGGAAGAAGGUUCGAAUUCAAGUUGUUUGACUUAAGAAGAAACGAUUUGGAUGUGACCUGAAAGGAAGAAACUAAACAAAUUUAGAAAAUAACAAAGGAAAUAAGAAAAUUAAGAAAAUUCAAAAAAUAAAAAAAAUAAAGGAUAAAUAUUCAAAAUAAUAGCUAAAUAGUGAAAAGAUAGAUUAAAGCAAAGUACAAGAUGAAACGAUAAACUGAUGGAUAUGAUGGAUAGAAGAAUAAAUGUCUAAUUGAACUCUUUGAGAUAUAAAUCCCAAUAAACUCAAUUAAUGACUCUAAUCAACCCUCUAAGAAAUAAUCCUUGGCAAAUUGAAGGGUGAAGAAUGAAUCCCCACGACUCCUUGAAGAAAAUCGAGAAUAAAACUACUUCUAAAAAUCACAAGAAAUAAAUCUUGAACCAGAAACAAACUCCCACAGUUGAAAACUUUAUUAUUGAAAACAAUUUUCUGAUUUGUGUACAAUGCAAAGGCAUAUAGACUAGCUAAAUAAAUCUAAAUAAAACUCUUAAGUAUACUAGAACUCUAAUAAAUCUAAACAAUAAGUAGUUUUAAACUAAACUUUCUUAUUGACAUCAAACUCCUAAAUAACUUAAACAACUUAAUAAUUAUUAGUUAAAAAUUCGGAAUAAUAAAAUAGCAAGAGCUGAUAAAAAUAAUAUUUGGCUCAUAUAUAAUAAAAAUUAAGCCCAAAACCCAAACCCAAUAUGAUUUAAACUCGAGUUAAAAGCCUGAAACUCAUAAUUCCCAUCAUAAUCCCGUCUAGAAAUUCUACUCACACGGUCUUCACUAAAACGAUCAUAACUUGAGCUCUCGAACUCAAAAUCGAGUGAUUUAAAUUGUGUUUCGAAGAUAAGAGAUAGAUCUUCGAACGCCAUGAAGAUAUCUCAACCCAAAAAUGUCUGGAUUCCAUCCAAAAAGUCAUCACAAUUCUGUUGAUUUCCCAAGCUUAAAAAUUGAAAGCUUUAAUGAAUAUGGAAUUUAACAAACUUCACCCCAUCAAUGCAUGUAUAAAAAAUAAAUCAAAAUUUUCUUUUUUCUUUUUUUUUUCAGAAUCUCUUAUUAAUUGCUAAUAUAUCUAGACAUCUCUUUUGUGGUGACAUCCACUUUAAACUUCAUAAUUCCAAAAUAAGGUGAGCAAAUAAGGGAUUUACCUUCCAAUUAUAUAUCCGGACUAGAUGAAUAUAUGCCUGUUAAUUUUGCUUUUGUUUUUCUUAGGAAAAAAGAAACAGAAUAUGCAAGAACCUUCAUUCCUCACCAUCUUUAUCGUCAUCAUCAUGUGUUUGAUUUUGCCUUUUACCUGACUAAUUGGAAUGUAUACAUGUGUGUGUAUAUAUACAUGCUAAUUGUCACUAUCUUUAAAACAUAUAUUCCAAUUAUAGAGGAAUAUAUGUUUGUUAGCAUCCUCGCAAUUUCAGGCUUAUUUAUUAAGGUGAGAUAUUUAAUAAAUACGAGAUUCAUGAUACACUUACAAAUGGGCGAAACUUGAAAAUUUUUUUAGAGGGUCGAAAUUAAAUUAUAAUUUUCACAAUAGUAAAAAUGUAAUUUCAUCAUUUUAAUAGACUCUAUCUUUAUAUUUUCAAAGGAUUAAAUAAAAUUUUUUAUCAUUUUUAGGGGGGGCAAAAUACAAUUUUACCUUUACUAAUUUAAAAUUUUAAAAAUUUCAAAUGGCCUAAAUAAAAAAUUUUCCAUUUUAGGGGUGGUCGGCCCCUGCUAGGCCCUUGGUUUCACCCCUUCACUUACAUUCAUAUUAUAAAUGGAAAAGAAAAUUUACUAUGCAUGAAUUUAGAGUUGUCUAAGGGUUGAGUUACUCGUUUGAACUCGAAGGUCUGCUCAAAAUAUAAAAGGGCUUGGACAAGUAGAUAAAGCCCGAAAAAUGGAGUGAUUUGAGAAACAAUAUAAGUUCGAAAUAUAAAAGAGAUAAAAUAAUUAAAUAAAAAAUUAAAAUAAUUUUAUUUAUAAAAUUAGAGUAUCAAAUAAGCUAUUAUACCAUUUGUUAGGUAAAUUUACUAAUAAUUUAAUGACGUUAAAUGUCGUUUACCUAAUUAUUAGGUACUAAAACUAAACCAGCAUAUAUAAUUAAAUAAAUUUCAACGGAUAUAUCAUAUAAAAAAUUAGUACAUAAUAAUAAAAGUCAUCUCUAAAUUAAAAAUUUCCAUCAUAUGAAUUUAAAUUUACAAAAUAUCCUUUAAUCUUAAUUAUAUAUUUUUAAACAAAAAUUUUAAGAUUUGUUGAAAUAAAAAGCACACAAACAAACAAGCAACAAUUUCAACAUUGAAGUUAUCUCUCCAAAAGAGCUAAGAUUAAGGUUUCCACUUUAAACUUGAUAAUUCUAAAAGCAAAAGGUGACCAAAUGGGCAUUUGUCUCCUAAUCUUAUAUUCUUACUCAACUAUAAAUUGAAUAUAUGCUUGUAAAUAUUUAAUGUGCUGUUGGUGUAUAGGUCUCAUGCACCAUCAAGCUUUUUUCUCAAUCAAAUGAUUACACAUUUUAAGCAUUUGCAAAUAAUGUUAUAAUCUGUAAAGUGCAGCAAUCCCCCACGAAAAGUGUCCCUCUCCCAAGUACAAAUCAACAAAAUCUCAUAUCGAUAACAUCAAUUCCAUACCACCAGACCCUCAAAACCCCCUCUGUUAUUCUGCCCUCUAAAAAGCAAUUGUGCAAGCAAUCGAAACAUAAGACCCAUAUAACCAAAGAUCCUUUAGACACUAAUAGCUAACCAAUUCUUCAGAAGAAACUCAACAACAUCACUCAUGAUAUAUUCAGCACCAUGCCUUAAACAUUCCAGGCCUUUUUAUUCCAGCUAACGCUAAAGCAAAGGCUACCUCAUUUCCGUGCUUCUCAGCCUUCAAGAAGGAAAUAUUACCUACUUUAUCCAUUCUAUUUUCGAUAUCCUUAAAGAUAGAUUGCAGCAUCCACAGUCUCAACCUUUUGUUCUCAAUCCAACUAAACACCUCAUUUGAUCCAAUCUCAAUUAUUAGAGAGCCUUUACCUUUCCAGCCCAUUGCUAAAUACACAUCCAAAGUAAUGAUGAUCGCUCCAAUCUCAGCUGCAAUGGAGUCCUUUGCUGCAACUAGACUAAAAAAUAUUGCCCUUGCCACCCCAUUCAAGUUUCUUAACACCCCUCCACACCCAGCUUCAUCCUCGUUCGCCACUCCACUUACAUUAAAUUUUACCCAACCAUACCUCGAAGGAUACCAGAACAGGCCACCAAUUCUAGAUUUUUUAUAAUUACAUCAGCUUCUAUACGGACACAUUCACCAUGAUCUCUCUUGCACUCUUAAUUCUUCUUGAACAGCCCUAACCCACAUCAAUGCCUGUAUCUUGGAGUGAAAUAACAAAUUGCUCACUGUAGACCACUUCCUUUCAAACACUAACUCGUUCCUUUCCAGCCACACAGACCAGCAUGUCGCUGUCACUGAUAUUAACCAUAGGCUUUUGCACACCUGUAAACUUCACAUUAUUACAUAAAGAGUAAAAAUCUAAGAAACCAUCAACUGGAUUCCAUUCAACAUCCUACCACUCGAAAAUAUUUCGCCAAAACCCUUCAAUGAAAUUGCAUUGAAAGAAAAGAUAAUUUGCGCUCUCCAGUUCUCUAUCGCACCAAGAGCAACCUCUCUCCAAUUGACGAAGCUUUACACCUCUUCUAGUCAGGAACUCCUUAGUAGGUAGCCUAUUUAUUGAAGUCAUCCAAAGGAAGCUUUUUACUCUAUAAGGUACCUUUAACUUCCAAAUCUUAUCAAAAGUGAAACUAAUGUCUUCCACCCCUUUGAUCAAUAAUUUUGAUAAUUUCCUAACUGAGAGCACCCCCUUAUUAUCAUGUAUCCAUAUUAGUCGAUCCUCCUCUUCUAGCGCCAGCACCUUACUACUGACUACUUCCCUUAAGCGAUUGAGCAUAUCAAUUCUUUUUCCAAUAGUGGUUGUAUAAAGAAGUCUACCCAAUUAACCUCGGUAAACCAGUUCGAGUUUGAGAAGUCUUUCACUAACUCUUUCUUAUUAUUGACUAAACAAAACAGCCUUGGAAAUUCCACUCUCAGUGGUUGUUCUCCAUACCAAAUAUCCUCCCAAAACAUUUUCAUAUUACCAUUCCUAAUCAGCCAACGAAAAGAUUCUUUCCCUAUCCAUUUAGCCACUUUUGAGUCUUUAGCAUUCUCCACGAUACCCUUCCAAACCACCGACAUAUCUUUUGUGUUAUUCGUACUAAUUCACCAUUGGUGUGCAAGGGAUUCGUACUUCGUAACUAUAAUUUUUUUCCACAAUGUAUCUCUUUCUACCGCAAAUCUCCAACUCCAUUUGGCCAUGAGUGUCUUGUUGUUUACCCUGAUACCUAUCACUCCCGCACCCAUCUUAUCCUUUAGCAAACAAAUCCAUGUCCACUUUACCUUCGUUAUUUUCCUUUGUCUACCAACUUUCCCUACAAAAAAUUCAUUCUAAUUUUGUUAAUUUUAUUAAUCACAGCUACAAGUGCUUGGAAAUUUGACAUGAAAUAGAUAGGUAAAGAGGAUAACACUGUGUUAAUAAGCACAAUUCUCCUUGCCUGGUGUGUCGUUAAAAGCACCAAAAAUAACCUAUCCCUAUGAAAUAACAAAAAGAAUAGUAUAAGGGAAGUAGGGUCAAAUCUUCAAGGACUGGAUUGCUACAACUUCUUGUUCCUCAAAAUCCUAGGCACAAUCGUGCCCAAGAAAAAUAGCGUACUUGGAAAUAAUAAAAAAGACAGAAUUAAAAAUAUGGACGAAUUGAAAUUGUAUGAAUUAAAAUUAAAAUUGUAAAAAGAAACAAAAUUGAGGAAAUGGAUUCUUCGAUUUAAGGGAUUCUAGCCUCGAGUUGUGUCGAUCCUCAUUAGGUUCAAUCCUAGGCUUUUAGGUGAUCAUUCUCACACCAGAAUAAGCCAGCCAUAGUGGAAGAGAAUGACUAGGACCACCAGCUCCACUUAGAUUUUAGACUUACGAUUUAGAGGAACCUGACUCUAGCCAACCAUCACUUUUGUGGGACCUUCUUACACUAGAUCAUCGUUUCUUAAUGGCGAAUGCCACGCCAUUUCUUCUCUUGGGCUCGAAAACCUCUGACAUAGUAAGUUAGUGAAUCGACUGUGCAACCUUCCCAAAAUAUAUAAAGCGACCGCCUUUGCAUAAGAUGAAAAGAUCACUUUGGAAGGACAUAGAUGGAAGCGUCACUCCCAUAAUACAGAGAAAUGGUGAAUACUCAUUGAAAAGGCUAAGUGCGGGUUCUAAGCCUCAUGAACCUUUUUUGAGGAAUCUCGAUAACCUUUGACUAGAUGAGUUUAGUGGCUCAUGCUUUUUGGAAAAAAAGGAAAUAAGUUUAAUGGAAUGGAAUUUUAUUGAAAAAUAGAAGGAACAAAAAGGCUAGAGCUUUAGGGGCAAUGAGUGUUUAACAGAAAAGAUGAAAGCGGUGAUGGAGGGUGCAAAGUAAUUGGUGAAGGGGACAGUGGGGAAGAGAUAUGGAUAAGGGUGACGGUAAGGUUGAAGGGGAAGGUGCGAGUGAAGGAGAAGGAGGAUGAGAGGUUUCACGUAAAGGAGAGGGAGGUGGAGAAGGAUAAGCGUGGUCUAGGUCGACGUGUUGGGGUUUCGAGAAUCGACGCUGACUAUUAUUAACAUUGAAGGGUGGUUCAACGGUAGCGCGACUCCUAGUCCUAGCCAUGGUGGUUCGAAAAUCAGCGGUUUAGGUAAAGGAGAGGGCUAACGGCGGCUUGAAGGAGUUUGAGGUGAAUAUGGGUGAAAAAUUAGAGUUUGAAGGUGUAGAAGGAAGGGUUUUUAGGUGUAGGGUGGGUGUUUGGACGUAGGUUUGGGUGAGUUUAAAGCAGGGAUGCGCUAUUCCUACCUGGAUUAGGGAAGAAUAUGGGGUGUUUGCUAAAGCAUGCCCAUUCCUUCAAGAUGCCGUUCCAAUUUGAAUUUUUUUCUCAUCGGUUCGCUUAGACAAAAAAGAGAAAUUUAUUAACAUGAAAAUAAAAUAAAAUAAAAUAAAGUAAUAUAUAAUAAAAUAAUAAAUAAAUAAAUAAAAAUUGGGUUACCUCCCAUUAAGUGCUUGUUUUAUGUCAUUAGUUUGACGUCCCGAUUAGUAUUAUGGAGGUUCCAGCUGAAUCUUUUCAAACGUAUAAGCUUGAAAAUUCUCAUAAAACGACUUCAACCUUUGACCAUUGAUUGUGAAUCGUUUUCCCUACUCUUCACUUCCUGUUUCAAGUACACCAUGUGUGAACAAUUCGGUUACAAUAAAGGAUCUUUGCCAUCAUGACCGCAGCUUACUAGGGAAUAAUUUUAGCACAGAGUUAUAAACUAACACUUUUUAUCCUAUCGAGAAAUGCUAUCGGGAUAUUUUAUUAUCAUGGAACAAUAUUGUUUUUUCCCUAUAAAUACGAGCAUUCUUGUAGGCAUAUUACGAAUUUACUCUAAUUCUUGGAUGUCUAAUUUUCUUGCUUUUCCCGCAGGUUCUAAUUCCAUGUUACAUUGUCGUAUAGCCCAGUAAGCCUUAUGUUCCAAUUCUACUAGAAGGUGGAAAGCCUUGCCAAAAACAAGCCGAUAUGAGGUUAUGCCAAUUGUUCCCUGAUAUACGAUCCGAUAUGCCCAAAGUGCGUCAUUUAGACAAAGACUCCAAUCCUUUCGAUUAGGCUGAACCGUUUUCUCCAAAAUGGUCUUGAUGUCUCAAUUCGAGAGUUUUGCUUGGUCGUACAUUUGGGGGUGAUAGGUUGAAGUUAUACGGUGUUGAACUCUGUAUUUUUUCAUAAGUGCCUCCAUGACUCUAUUGCAAAAAUGGGUUCUGCGAUCGCUGAUCAAGGUUGAGGUGUGCCAAACCUAGAAAAAAUAGUUCGUUUUAGAAAUUCCACAACAAUCUUAGUAUUGUUAUUGCGAGUAGGCUUUACUUCUAUCCACUUAGAAACAUAGUCUACCGCAAGAAUUAUAUACACAUUUCUAAAUGAGGAAAUAAACAGACCUAUGAAGUCGAUACCCCACACAUAAAAAAUCUCACAUACAUGAAUAGAGGAUAGGGGCAUUUGAUUUCGCUUAGUUAUGUUACCUGUAUGUUGGGAUUUAUCACAAGAUUUAUAAAAAUUAUAUGCAUCUUAGAAAAUUGUGGGUCAGUAUAGCCACACUCUAAUACCUUAUGAGCAAUCCAUUUAAGGCCAAAGUGACAUCCACAAACUUCGGUAUGACAAAAAGUGAGUAUAGAAACUACCUCGAUUUUCAAAACACAUCGUCUUAUUAUAUGAUUUGAGCAAUGUUUCCACAGGUAUGGGUUAUCCCAAAUAUAAUAUUGAGCUUCCUUUCUAAGCUUGUCUUUCAUGGAACAUGCUAACCUAAUGGGCAGUGAACUUGUGGCAAGGAGGUUCACCAUAUCUGCAUACCAUAGGAAAUGUGCUUUGGCAGAAAAUAAACCUUCAUCAAGAAACUCAUCCUUUAUAGGAAUGUCACCACAAGGUGUUUUUAACCUACUCAAGUGGUCAGCCACCAAGUUUUCCCAUCCCUUGUCUUGAAUCUCUAUGUCGAAUUCUUGGAGCAGUAAAAUUCAUCUAAUGAGUCUUGGUUUCACUUCAUUCUUUGCGAUAAAAUACCUAAGAGCUACAUGGUUAGAAAAAAAAUUACUUUAGAUCCCAAUAGAUAAGACCAAAAUUUAUCCAAAGCAAAUACAAUAGCCAAAAGUUCUUUCUCUGUGGUGGUGUAGUUGCAUUGUGCAGCAUCUAGGGUUUUUGAGGCAUAACAAAUGACAUAGGGCUCUCUGUCUAUCUUUUGUCCCAACACGACCCCUACAUUGUACUCGCUUGCAUCACACAUGAUUUCAAAAGGAUAGUUCCAAUUUGGUGCUUGUACUAUAGGAGCAAAAACCAACUUCUGUUUGAGUGUGUCAAAAGCCUUUUUGCACUUUGGGUUAAACUCAAAUUUCUUAUCUUUUUGCAACAAUUCGCAUAGUGAUUCAGCUACUUUUAAGAAGUUUUUUAUAAAGUGCUUGUAAAACCCUGCAUGGCCAAGGAAAGAAUAGACUUCCUUUAUAGUUGAAGGAUAUGGUAAAGAAUUUAUAAUGUCAGUUUUGGCCUUAUCAACCUCAAUCCCUUUAGCUGAAACUAUAUGUCCUAGAAUUAAACCUUUGUCUACCAUAAAAUGACACUUUUCGUAAUUCAAGAUAAGAUUAAAUUCUAUGCAUCUACUUAAAAUUGUCAUAAGGUUUUUACGGGAUUCAUCAAAACAAUCCGCACGCACAGUAAAAUCAUCCAUAAAAACUUCGAUAAUGUUUUCUACAUAUUUAGAAAAUAUACUCAUCAUGCAUCUUUAGAAGAUGGUCGGUGCAUUGCAAAGUCUGAAUGACAUCCUUUUGUAUGCAGAUGUGCCGAAUGGGCAUGUAAAAGUGGUCAUUUCUUGGUUUUUUGGUGCAACUGAGAUUUGGAAAAAACCUGAGUAUCCAUCAAGACAACAAAAGUGAGUUUUUCUAGCUAAAUGUUUAAGCAUUUGAUCUAUAAUAGGUAGAGGGAAAUGGUCUUUUCUUGUAUAAGAAUUCAACUUCUUGUAAUCAAUAAAGAUACACCACCCAUGUUACACUCGGGUUUGUACCAGGUCUCCCUUAGCAUUUCUCUUUAUUGCCAUGCCUGUUUUCUUGGGCACGACUAGCACUGGACUUACCCAUCUGCUGUCAGAAAUAGGGUAGAUUACAUCAGCAUCCAGUAGCUUAAUUAUUUCCUUUUUUACCAUAUCCAUCAUAUUCGGGUUUAAUCAUCUUUGUGCCUCUCGCUUUGGUUUCGUUUUUUCCUCCAAGUAAAUCUUGUGUGUGCAUGUCAAAGGGCUUAUCCCUUUUAAGUCGGUAAUGGUCCAGCCAGUUGCUUCCUUAUGGUUUUUCAGUACUUGAAUUAAACUUUCCUCUUCGAGCUUGGAGAGUUUAUUUGAAACUAUGAUCAGUAAAGUAUUAUCUUUCCCCAGAAAUGCAUAUUUAAGAUGCUUAGGAAGUGGUUUCGAUUCCAAAUCUGGUGCCUGCACAACAGAAGGUAGAAGUUUAGUAUUCAUUGGAGACAACAAUUCAUUAACAAAUUCAAAAUCAUCAAACAACGUUUCAGGUUUAUCUUCAUAAGGUGACUUAAAAGUUUCUCCUACUAAUGACUCAAUUAUGUCGACACGAUUUACAUUCAAGGUUUCACUUAGGUGACUAAUAGCAUCAUAAACGUUAAACUUCACAAUCUCCCCAUCAAAUUCCAUUGUGAGGGUUCCACUACACACGUCAAUCUUAGUGCUAAUGAUACUAAGGAAAGGUCGCCCCAACAAGAUGUCUGAAGACCUAGGAGUGUUAUCCUCUUCCAUUUUCACUACAUAAAAGUUUGCAAGAAAGAUAAGCUCGUUAACUUUCACUAAUACAUCCUCAAGGACUCCUUCGGGAUGUACAAUAGACCUGUCUCCCAAUUGAAUGAUAACACCUAUUUUCGUCAAAAAACCUACGUUAAGUGAUUCAUAAAUAGAAAAAGACAUUACAUUUAUGGAGGCCCUUAAAUCACACAUAGCUUUUUUUAUUCCUAAGUGCCUUAUUUUGCAUGGUAUUUCAAACAUGGCCUUGUCUUUGCAUUUUGCUGUCAUCUUCCGCUACAACACCGCAAAUACAUUUUCACCAACACUUACUCUUUCAUUUCCAAUAAAUUUUCGCUUGUUGGUGCAAGCUUCUUAAGAAACUUAGCAUAUCGCAGAAUUUGUUUGAUGGCAUCUAACAACAAUAUGUUAAUCUCGACAUUUCUGAAUGUUUAAAGGAUCUUUUUUUCCUCCUUACACUUCUAAUGUUGGUUCAACCGUCCUGGAAACGGAGGUUGAGUUUUGGGCAAUAGAGGUUUCGUUCAGACUUGUUCAUCGUUCUCGUGCUUUUCCUGGACGGAAUCUUGGCCAAGAUUUUUGUCAGGAUUUGGGUUCUAGUUUUUCUCCACUUUGCAAUAUCACUGCAUUUGUGCUUGGGUUGGUUCCAUUUGCGAUAGUAGCUUCCCUUGUGAGUUCAUUUUCUCAAUUGCUGUGGUUAAUUCUCUCAUAGAUGUCUAGAUUUUCUAUUGAAAAUAAAGCAUAUUGGCUAUUAAUUUAUUGACCAUUGUUUCUAGAGAGGUACCUGAAUCUCCCGUUUGUUGUGGAAACCGAUUUUGGUAUGACUGGUUAUACCGUGGGUUAGCCCCAUAACUCAACUUAGGAUGAUCUUUCCUUAUUGGAUUGUAGGUAUUAGUGUAGGGUCAUAUCGCCUUUGGGGUGGCCCAAGAAAGUUCCUCACAACAUCUAAAUGGACCAUAGUAUCAUCAUACAAAUUAGGGCAUGCAUCAGUUGUAUAUUCGGGUGUUGCACAAAUUCCGCAUAGUCGGUCUGGUCUUACUUUUUCUGCAACAAAAGAAUUCAUGAUAUCAGUAAGUCUAUCAACUUUAUCUUCUAAAGUUGAAUUUCUUAGUUGGUAAACCCUUCUAGUGGGUUCAAGAUUGGCUCAGAAUUGCUGAGUAUUUGCAGCCAUUGUGGAUAUGAAGUCCCUUGCCUGUUGGAGAGUCAUGUUGACCAAUGGCCCUCCACUGGCGGCAUCUACCAUAUUCAUUUCUAUGGGCUUCAAGCCUUCAUAGAAGUAUUGGAGUAGAGACUAUUCUGUUAUUCCAUGUUGUGGGCAGCUUGCACACAACUUCUUAAAUCGUCCCCAAUAGUCGUAAAGAGACUCCACAUCUUUUUUCCUUAUCCCAACGAUCUCCCUUCUUAACUCAGCUGCAUGCGAUGCUGGAAAAAAUUUGUUGAGAAACAAACAGGAAAGAUCAGUCCAAGUUAUGAUAGAUCCAGGAUGUAGAUAAAAUAAUCAUUCCCUAGCAGAAUUUGCUAGGGAAAAAGGGAAAUCACUUAAUUUUAUUUGAUCCUCAGUUAAGCCUUGAGGUUUAAUACUAAGACAAACCAUUUGAAAUUCUUUCAGAUGUUUGUGUGGAUUUUCAUUUUGUAACCCACAAAAAGUCGGUAGCAACUAGAUUAAUCCUGACUUCAGUUCAGAAUUAGUAUACAUAGUAGGAUACGCAAUGCAUAACAACUGUUGUUCCGUAGGAGCUUCGGCCAUUUGCCGAAUUGUUUGAGCCAUAGGUUGAUGUGCUUAGUUUGGGUUUACGUUAACCCUAGUGUUAGGCACUUCUUCUAGUGGAUCAACUCCUAUCUUUCGUUCUCCAAUAUUUGAGUAGGGUUUUCGUUAAUCCUACACUCAACUUUGUCGCCUGCUUCUGUUUCUAGUAAUGGGCUACUCUGAGUUCCUACCACCUUUGACAGCUUUUUUCGUAGCUUUGUUUCUUUGCAAUUAGCUCUCGUAGUCUUUUCUAUUUUUGAAUUGAACGUAAGAAUUCCUGAAGCAGAUCUGGUCAUAAGCAAAAGAAAUAAGAUUAGUACAUUACUAGUCCUCGACAACGGCACCAAAAUUUGUUGUGUCAUUGAAAGCGCCAAAAAUAACCUAUCCCUAUGAAAUAAUGAAAAUAAUAAUAUAAGGGAAGUAAGGUCAAAUCCUCAGAGAUUUAAUUGCUAUAACUUCUUGUUCCUCGAAAUCUUGGGCAUAGUCAUGCCCAAGAAAAACAACAUACCAAGAAAAUAUAAAAAAGACAGAAUUAAAAAUAUGGACAAAUUGAAAUUGUAAAAAGAAACAAAAUUGAGGAAAGAGAUUCUUCGAUUUAAGGGAUUUUAGCCUCUGGUUGUCUCGAUACUCCUUGGGUUCAAUCCUAAACUUUUAGCUGAUCCUUCUCAUAACAGAAUAAGCCAGUUAUAGUAGAAGAGGAUGCCUACGACCACCAACUCAACUUAGAUUUUAGACUUACGAUUUAAAGGAACCUCACUCUAGCUAACCGUCACUUUUGUGGGACCAUCUUACAUUAGAUCAUCGUUUCUCAAUGGCGAAUGCCUCACCAUUUCGUCUCUUGGGCUCGACAACCUCUAACACAGUAAGCUAGCGAAUCGACUGUGCAACCUUCCCAAAAUACACAAAGCGGCUGCCUUUGCACAAGAUUAAAAGAUCACUUUUGGAAGGACAUGGACGAAAAUGUCAGUCCUGUAAUGCAGAGAAACGGUGAAUACUCAUUGAGAAGGCUAAGUGCAGGUUCUAAGCCUCAAGAACCUUUUUUGGGGAAUCUCAAUAACCUUUGGCUAGAUGAGUUUAGUGGUUCAUGCAUUUUGAAAAAAAAAGUUUAAUAGAAUGGAAUUUUAUUGAAAAAUAGAAGGAACAAAAAGGCUAGAGCCUUCGGGGGAAUGAGUGUUUUACAAAAAAGAUGAGUAAGUAUUCAUGCCACUCCAUCCCCUAUUUAUAGUACAUAGAAAACCUAGUUUGUUCCUAUUUAAACUCUAAAUUAUAAAUAAAAAUAUAAUUUGAAAUUAAAUCUAAAUAAUAUCAUAAUAAUCUUAACAAUAAUCCUAAAAAUAAAAUUCAAAUUUAAAUAGAGUCUUAUGUUUAUACAUAUCUUUUUUGAAUUUUUGCCCCCAAGUCUUUCAUACUUUGUAUUUCUAGCACCACUUCUUUCCCAUUUCGCAUGCUGACCCAUUUUAUCUUUAAGUUCACGCUUUUUGCCUCCAAUUUCUUUUUACCUUCAAUUUAGUCCCUACAAUAUGAAAACCCAUAAAAACCCCAAAUUAGUAGAAUCAUACUUAAAAUGUAUAUGCAAUUAACAAAUAAAAGUAUUUCAUUUUAGAGUAUUAUCACUACCCAAGAGAGAGAACGACACUUCCAGCCCGAUAGUUUCCUCUCAACUCUUUCCACGAUUCCAUUCCAAGUAGAAAUCUUCCUUGGAUCAACUCCUAAUGGAAUUCCCAAGUAAUUGAACGACAAUUCCUUUAUCUUACACUUAGAAACAACAACCAUUCUGUACAUAAACUCCUCAUCAAUGCCAAACCCAUGACUUACGAAAUUUAAUACUUAACCUAGAGAAAAUUUCAAAGCAACGAAGAAUAUACUUAGUAUUCCUCACCACUUCCUUAUCCGCCCUCAAAAAUAAAAUGGUGUCAUCCGCGAAUUGUAAAUGUGUGAAUGACUUACCAAGUAUAACAUCUUUUAUCCCCUCAAUGAUCCUCAUUUCCUCAGCUUUAUCCAUCACCAAGUGCAGUACUUCCAUCACUAGAAUAAAUAAGAAUGUUGAUAAUAGGUCCCCUUGUCUGAGACCUCUGUAGAUUCUAAACUCAUUUGUGACCAUAUGAUUGAUAAGUACCGCUGCUCUCGCUGUUGACACACACUCCAACAUCCAACCAGUCCACCUCUUUCCAAACCCCAUUUUCAAUAAAACAAGCUCCAAAAAAUCCAAGCGCACACAAUAUUAAGCUUUGGAAAAAUCUAGCUUAAAAAUCAUAUAUCCCCCCGCACCUUCCUUCUUCUUAACCGAAUAUAUUAUCUCAUUUGUGAUUAAUAUUCCAUCGAAAGUUUAUCUUCCUCGAAUGAAUGCGCAUUGUGUAUCACUUACCAUGACCCUAAUAACAUCACAUAAUCUUCUCGAUAGAACCUUCGCCAUAAUUUUGUACAAUGAACUCACCAAACAAAUUGGUCUGAAUUCGAAAAUGUCAUUCGGAUUUUCAUUCUUGGGUAUGAGCGCUAUGAAAGACUAAUUAAUGCUUAUCUCCAACUUACCAAUUUUAUAAAAUUCCGCCAUCAUUUCAAACAAAUCCUUUUGUACAAUCCUCCAACACUUUCUAAAAAACAUAGAUUAAAUCCAUCCGUGCCCGAAGCUUUGUUCUCAUCACAGCUCCACACUGCUUCCUUAAUUUCCUCCAUAGAAAAGGUACCUCAAGUUUCAAAAUUUUCGCUUCAUUCAGCCUAUUGAAUUUCAAUACCAUAUCCAUUUUCCAUUUCCUCAAAGGGCAGCUAAAGUGGUUUCUAAAAAAAUUGAACAUCUUCUCUUUCAGCUCUUUAGGUUCACAAUACCAAGAAUUGCCAAUUUUCAUCCCAUGCACAAUUUUCCUAUUUACUUUAAUCUUUAUCGCCCUAUGAAAAAAUGUUGUGUUAGAGUCACCAUCUUUCAACCAUGUCAUUCUUGAUUUUUUUUCCUCCAAAUAGAUUCCUUAAUUUAAUUGCUUCCCCAAGUUCUAGAUUCAACCUUUUUAUCUCCACCAUUUCCAACUCUGUUAAAUCUCGAUUAUCGCUUUCAUCAUCCAACAUCUUAAUCCUCUCUUCAAUCCCAUUUAUUCUUUUUUUCCAAUUCAUUUUGUGCAUCACCAUUCCAUUUCCUAAGAGCUCCUUUUAACUUCCUCAAUUUCCUUGAUAUUCUACCAUUCAUGCUGUCCAUUUCAUUCCAUUCUUUUUUAAUUAAACUCGGACACUCCUUUUUGCUAUGCCACACGUUUAUAAACUUGAAAUUUCUCGGACCCCAAUCCACUGCUCCGUUAGUUAACAAAAUCGAAAUAUGAUCAGAUACUUAUCUUUUUAGUCCCUGCUGUUGAAGAUCUUCAAAAUGUUCUAACCAUUCUUCAUCCACUAGAAAUCUAUCCAGCCUACUUUUCUUCUUUUCUGGUCCAUACCAGGUAAAUUUUUUCCCCAUCAAUGGUAAAUCCACCAAUUUGCAUUUGUCAAUAAAACUCCCUAAAUCCUUCGAUCCCUUUAAUAAUCCCACACAGUUGCUUCUUUUGCUCCUGUUACUAACCGUGUUAAAGUCACCUCCCAUAAUCCAAUGAUUAGUAAACUGUUUUCAAACCUCAAUCAUCUCCUCCGAUAAAAUCUUUUGUUCCAUCAACGUGCUGGGCGUAUAUGCAUUGAUAAAUAUUCCUUCCCAACCUUUGGACAACCAAUUCCCUUCCACCACUACAAUUCGAUUAACACAAUAUUCCUUAUUCAUCUAAAAAUACCCUUUAUCCCUUAUUGUAAUUAACCCUCCCGAACGACCUACUUCUACCGCAUACCUAAAAUCAAAGUUGUCGUCCCUCCAGAUUCUUCUAAUUAGAUCCCCAGACACUACCUCUAAUUUUGUUUCCUGUAAAAAAACAUACUUUUACCCUGUGCAUUCUAACUAAUCUACUCACCAUUGUAAUUUUGACCUCUGGUCCCAGACCUAUAUUCAAACUCGAAUAUUCCAACCAAUAUUCCAAGAUAAAUCAAAACAGCAAAUUCAAACUCGCACCUGUUGUUGCACUGGGGCUUUAUUUGUUCUCUUCAGGUCCUUUGCUACUGCACUUCGAGUCUCAUUAUAUCCUCAAUGACAUCCCUUUCAUCUCCCCUUACACUUAAUCCCAAUUUUUUCCCCACUUCCUAGGUUUUCUUUACCUCCCUUAAAAUUACCUUCUUCCUGUUGCUGAUGUCCGAGUCUAACAAUGAUAAAUUCACGAUUUUCUCUUCACCCCUUAACACUGUCCUACCAUUUUCCUUUCUCCAAAUUUUAUCCCUCUUUUGUUUCUCCUUAGAUGUCAGCACCCUAUCCUAAAUGCCUCGCAUGGAAUUAAUUUUUUAUUAAAUUGUUUCUUCUUCUUUCUACUUCGGAUUGUAUUUAAGAAUACAUCUGCAAUCUCCUGGAAAAUCCCCUGUCCCCUUGAUUCCUUUUCUUCUGAUUUGUUUUUAGAAUUUUCUUUUUGUUGUCAAACUAUUUUCCUCUCCCAAAAUCAACUUUUCAUUUCUAAUUGAGCCCACACCCUCUUCCAUAUCCUCAUGUGCAUCUGAUCCCCCACUCGAGCUUAUUACAAGUGCCAGACCCAUAUUUACUAAGUCCUUUAUAGCCCGGUCCAUACUUCUAUUGUCUCCAAAUUCCCCUUCAACUAAAUUUCCAUUAGUUUGGUGCCAGUAUACUAAAGGAAAUUUUGAAGGAAUAUGAAAAGUGUUCUGGACAGUGCGUUAAUUUCAACAAGUCCACCAUAUUUUUUAGCACCAAUACGUCAGAAGGAAAAAUGAAUGAAGUUUCGGCAAAAUUGGGGGUUAGGAUCUCAACAAACUUAGAACGAUAUCUAGGGCUUCCAAACAUGGUUGGUCGACGGAAGAAAGAAUCCUUUCAGCAUUUAAAAGAAAAGAUUGUUACCAGGAUUGAUGGAUGGAGUACUAGAAUGUUAUCUCAAGGAGGUAAAGAAGUCUUUAUUAAAUCGAUGCUACAAGCCAUUCCAACUUACGCUAUGUCAUGAUUCUUAUUACCAAAGACUCUUUGUGGAGAAUUUGAAAAUAUUUUUUCUAAAUUUUGGUGGUAAUAAACGCACGGUAGGAGAGGUAUUCAUUGGUGUCAGUGGAAGUACUUAUGCCGUCCUAAAGAAGAGGGUGGAUUGGGCUUUAGAAAUAUGGCUCAAUUCAAUGUUUCACUUUUAGCUAAACAAGGAUGGCGUAUUAUAAACAAUCCAAAUUCUUUAGUAGCACAAGUACUAAAAGCGAAGUAUUUUCCAAGUGUUGAUUUUUUAAACUCACAGUUGGGGAAUAAUGUAUCGUAUACAUGGAAAAGUAUUUGGGCUGCUAAGGGCAUUCUAGCAAAGGGCUUAUGUUGGAAAGUGGGUUGAGGUACGAAAAUUUCAAUCAGUCGUGAUUAUUGGAUUCCAGGUUUACCGCGUGAUAGAUUACCAGUUUUAAAUUCAAAUUUGAACGAUAGUAAAGUUGCAGAGCUAAUUGAUUCAAGUAGCAGAACAUGGAAACAGGAGUUGAUUGAGUAUGCCUUUCCAGAGGAUGUAGCAGAGAUGAUCCUCAGUAUCCCACUAGCUGAAAGUCCAUGAAGAUUUCCAAGUUUGGAGCGUUGAAGCGACGGGUGAGUUCACAACACAGAGCGCCUAUAAACUAUUACAAAGCAUUGAAAAUAACCCUGAAGCUUAUGCUUUACAAAACGACUACAAGGAUUUCUACAGGAAACUAUGGUUACUUGAUCUUCCUUCAAAAAUUAAAAUUACAGUUUGGAAGAUAUCUUGGAAUUUUCUAGCUACGCGUGCUAAUAUGCUACUUAGAAGACUGAUGAAUACGACAAUAUGUCCUCAUUGUAGUUCAGGAACUAAAACCAUGGACCAUCUCUUCCGGGAAUGUCCUGCUACAAUAGCAGUAUGGAGAGAGUUAUCUUUUCAUAGGUAUUUGCAGGGCAAUCAAAUGAGGUUUCUACAGUGGUUAACCUGGGUUUUCUCACAAAGCUCGACUCCUCAGCAUCAAAUUUUUUGUGUAGCAGUAUGGGCCAUCUGGGGAGACAGGAACAAUAGACUGCAUAAAAAAGAUGGUAAAUUUGGAAAAGAAGUAGGGAGAUUUUUUCAUAGCUAUAUUUCAGAUCUUGAUGCAGUUGGUAAAAAUAGAUUGGAAUCUUUCAUACCCGUAAAAAUAUGGAUAAAGCCAGUGGACGGGGUAGUCAAAAUCAAUUUCGAUGCAGCAUACGAUGGUAGACAAAGUAAAGCGGCUAUUGGAGUUGUGGCCCGUGAUAAGGAGGGUUUAGUUCUUCUAUCAUGUACGGAGGUUCAUCAAAGAGUUUCCUCAGCCUUUGGGGCAGAAGCAAUAGCGUGCCGGACAGCCCUCUAGAUCGGCGUUAACAUGCAGUGGGAAAAAGUUACUAUUGAAGAGGAUUCUUUAUCAAUAAUAAGAAAAUGUAAAACAAAAAGUCUUGAUAAAUCAUUGGUUAGUGCGUAUUUACAUGAUAUUCAUCAACUUCUGCUUAAAUUCAAGGAGUGUAGGUUUGAGCAUAUCCCAAGAUUAGCAAACAACCUUGCGCAUAUCUUAGCAAGUGAAGCUCUGAAGAGUAGUAGAGGAGCCUACCUGGUUGGAUGAGUCCCUGAAGCGGUAGAAACCCAAGCUGAAACUGAUAGGGUAAGAGAACCAGAUUGAAAGAAGAAAGCGAGAAAUGAAGGGAGGAGAGUAUAGAGAAGGGCAAACAUCAAAGUUAUUUCGGCAAGCCCUAUAGUGAUUUGAAGCGUCUUGGAAAAGUAAAGAAAAUUGAAGAGACAAGACGGUUGUAGUCUUUUAAGACUGAUUGGGCAGGUAGAACAGUAAACAUUUAUUAGUAUCAGAUUUUGCUUCCUUUUUCAUUUUCCUAGGAGAUUAGGUUUCCAAUUUUUGUCUUUUAGUUUUCUUUUUGCUGGGCUCAAUUGUUUUUAAUUGGGCUGUGGUUGUUUUUCUAGGAUAUUAAGUGUAACAUUUAUUUAUCUUUUAAAAAAAAGCCCAAUCUGAAACUUAUUUCAAAAAAAAAUUUUCAUUAGUUUCGGCAUCAUGAAUCAUGAUCCCCUUCAUUUAAUACCCCCAACAUCUUCUGACAUUCUUUUCCAUCUCUAUCAGUUUCAAUGCCAUCUUUCAUAAUUACUUCCUCCAUGACGUUUCGGUUGCCUUCCUGAGAUUUCUCUGAUUCCAAUCCGAUCGUCGAUUCCGGUUCCGACACACUUUCUUUAGCCUCCUCCUGUCAUACCUCCUUGUUCAAGAUGUUGUUUUUAGAUACUUCUGACCAUCCCCUUUCUCUUACAUUGAUCGGAAAACUGAUAUCUCCCACCUCCAAUGUUAUUACUUCUUCAAUCUGCAUCGGUUGUUUGAUUGAAAUCAACAUCUCAAUCUUCUCCUAGUUGGUUGUUUUUGUCAAUUUCUCCCCUAUCGAAAUUAGAUCGCCCCAAUUGCCAGCUACCCUUUUGAACAUUUCGUAAUUCCAACAGCAUGCACCAUCAAUUAAUCAAUUAAUAAUAUAAGACAUUAUUAUUGGUGUAAAAUAAAAAAAAACAUUGAAGGACUUGAAAAUAAAUACAAUUAACUUUAUUUUUAUUUAAACAUAAUUAAAUAUUAAUUAUAAUUAUUUUAUUUAUCUUUUGGGUUUUAAGUUUUAAAUUUUGGGUUUCAAGUUUCGGAUUUGAUGUUUUUUCAUUUAUUUAUGUUUAAUAAUUAUAAUUAAUAUUUAUUUUUAAACCCUUCAAUAUUUUUUUUGUCAUACACUAGUGAUGAUGUGUCAUUUUAUUAUCAACUGGUGGUACAUGAAAUUUAUGUACCAAUGAUACAUCAAAUAUUCUCCCUAGCUAUAUAUAUAUGUCUCCAUCUCAUAGUUUUUGUAACUUUGUUUUAAAGAGUUAACAGAAUAUCUCUUAUAUUAGAUUUGAUUAAGAAUUUUGGGAAGAUUUUUUAUAGAGAGUUUUGUGUUUUAGUUGGAGGGCUUUGUAUUCAGGGUUAUUUGUUUUGAUUAUCUUCAUCUUGUACUUUUUAGAUUUCUUUCUCAUUAGUGAAGUCUCCUUUGCCCGUAGUUUUUUAUCCUCUUAAUUGAGGAUUUUCCACGUAAAUUUUGCAUGUAUGACUUUCCUUUAUUUUCUCUUUCAUUGUUUAUAUGGGUUGAUCCCCAACACUAAUUUCAACCAACAAACACACCCAAGUAGGAUUUAUUUAAAUUAGAUUGUAUGCCCACACAACAUUGAUUGCAUACACAGUUAUGGUAUUUAAAUUAGCUCCAUUGGCCAUGGAUUCUACAAGAAAGUUGUGUUGACAUUGAUGAUUUAGAUUAAGUUAUUGGUGAUGUCUGCAUUGUCAAAGCCUCAGGUAGAAUGUGUAACAGAUGCCUUGACCAUUGCUGACUUUUAACAAUCCAGCAUGUUUUAAAACUUGGUGGCAGUUGCUGCUACCGGUUAUGUAUCGAGUUGCUGGGAUGCUAGUUUUGUUUUAUUGUGCUAUUGGAGACAUGGUUUGUUGAACUGUUGUUGGGAGUUUAUUUGUUGUCAGAUUUUCUAUGUUAUGGUUCCUGGUUUGUAGUUUGAUGAUACGAUGGGUGGAUGCGGAAGUUGGAGAAAACAUAAACUAUAAAUUGAGUCAAAAGAUAAAAUAGUAAAGGCCAUUCUGUUUUAUUUUUCCAUAAUAUUAUACAAAUAGUCAACCGUGUAUAUAUACAUGGCACUGACAUGAUUGAGAAGGCCUACACACUUUCUAUUAGUUGUACCGGCUAUCAAAUUUUUUUAUUAUAAUUGUAGUACAGGUAAAUGCAGCAGCAGGCAGCACGUUAUUAUUUAACUUUGAUAGCCUUAAUUACCAGCAUAGCUUCACGAAGAAGCAACGGCAGUUAAGCCUCUAACUCAAAUGAUGCCUUCAUUGUGGGUGAACGGCUCCCGGCAUCAAUUUCAAUAGAUGCAACGUACCCAAACUUUGUAACUUUAAAUUUGGGUUUUCCUCUUUUCUCAAGGUCAGUUUUGAUUUGCCCCCAGUGAAUAGGUUGCCUUUGGAUAUCAGUAUAGACCUGCAGCAUGCAUGCAAUUAAUCAUACAUUAAAUGAUUGUGUAUACCCAUUCUAACUAGUUAAUUAAUGAUAAGAUUGAAUCGAGUACAAUAUAUACCUUGCUGUUCUCAUCGAGAGGGUUGCUCCAGGCAACAACCCACUUAGUUCCAUCACGUCGCCUGUACACAAGACCAGCAACUGAACCAUGACUAUCAGCAUCAUCAGUCACGGAUUCAUGUGUAAACUCUCUCGCAUCUCCAUCUUCAAUUAUUUCUGGGAAAUCAGCAUAAUGAGAGCCUUGCCAAACUUUCUUGUCCGUCAAGGUUAGAGCUUCGCUGGAAGAGUUCCAAAGCUUGCCGUUUGUGGUUUGUUGAGCAUUUUUCUGAGAAGCAGCCAUGGUAGCUAUCUAUGUGCUAU
This 26237-nucleotide long non-coding RNA is filed under the name Gossypium barbadense (sea-island cotton). RNAcentral describes it as "long non-coding RNA (GBAR_LNC016344)". Lineage: Eukaryota; Viridiplantae; Streptophyta; Magnoliopsida; Malvales; Malvaceae. The record is from RNAcentral.